GUUCUAGUCGGUGAGCCUGUGAAAACCGACCGAGUUCGUUGUUAUCUCGCAAAACAACAAGUUGGGUUGUGAGCUUGUAAAACAACCAGCUGUAAUCUGUAGGAUUAUAGUGAAAUUUCCAAGAGGUCUUGGGGAGUGGAUGUAGGUGCUGGGGUGCACCGAACCACUAUAUGUUUGUUGUGUUUGUGAUGCUUUUUGUCAUUGUCUAUCUUGUUCACUUACUUACCUAGAUAAAUUGCCUGCUUAACUCUUAUCCGCGCAUCCUUUAGUUGCAAGUAUAUUCAAUUUACUUAAUCAAGUCUCAUUCGAUAAAUCAACCUAUUGCUAAGUUUAAAUUCCACUGUGCAACUAUACAACUUAGCAUAAUUAAUUGAAAAGUGUUAGAAGUAGCUUAAAAGUUUUAAAAGACCCAAUUCACCCCCCCUCUUGGGUUGUAUCUACUGGGCAACACAAGGUUUUGCUAAAUUAAUCACAAGACAUUAUCUCCUAUUUCCAGGAGGGGUCAAUUCCAUCUCGACUCACAACUGACUAUGCAAGUACUUGACUGCACCCAGUGACCUUCCGUCACUGAAUUAGAAAUUCAGGUAGUCCGGUACCAAAGUAUAAUGAGUUGCUUGCUAGUCACAGGUUGCGGUCUCAGGUCAGAGGGCCAAACUUAUACCCAUAUCCACUCGGAACAUCUCUUGACAGUAUAGCGUUCCUUGAUUGGUCACGUUCAGUGAAAUGUACUCCUACACUUCACGUGUGUGGCAUACCAGUGUCUCCACACUCCUUGGUUAAGAGGACAACCAACGUAUAUGUCACACAACGACCUAAUCUCGA
Molecule: long non-coding RNA, 822 nt
Filed under: Phoenix dactylifera (date palm)
Lineage: Eukaryota; Viridiplantae; Streptophyta; Magnoliopsida; Arecales; Arecaceae
Description: long non-coding RNA (PDAC_LNC017893)
Source: RNAcentral